RNAcentral lists this transfer RNA (39 nucleotides) under Carex simensis. RNAcentral's name for it is "partial tRNA-Leu". The record is from RNAcentral. Lineage: Eukaryota; Viridiplantae; Streptophyta; Magnoliopsida; Poales; Cyperaceae.
AAAAUCCGUCGAUUUUGAAAUCAUGAGGGUUCAAGUCCC